GCCAGCAGCCAUAUCACUCUGCAACUCACAACUGGCAACACACUGAAGCUCAGCAGGGGUGAGCCUGGCCAAUACCUGAAUGGGAGACCUCCAGGGAAAAACUAAGGCUGCUGCUGGAA
RNAcentral lists this ribosomal RNA (119 nucleotides) under Lepisosteus oculatus (spotted gar). Lineage: Eukaryota; Metazoa; Chordata; Actinopteri; Semionotiformes; Lepisosteidae. The record is from RNAcentral.